AGCGAACGCUGGCGGCAGGCUUAACACAUGCAAGUCGAGCGGGCGUAGCAAUACGUCAGCGGCAGACGGGUGAGUAACGCGUGGGAACAUACCUUUUGGUUCGGAACAACACAGGGAAACUUGUGCUAAUACCGGAUAAGCCCUUACGGGGAAAGAUUUAUCGCCGAAAGAUUGGCCCGCGUCUGAUUAGCUAGUUGGUGAGGUAAUGGCUCACCAAGGCGACGAUCAGUAGCNGGUCUGAGAGGAUGAUCAGCCACAUUGGGACUGAGACACGGCCCAAACUCCUACGGGAGGCAGCAGUGGGGAAUAUUGCGCAAUGGGCGAAAGCCUGACGCAGCGACGCCGCGUGAGGGAUGACGGCC
RNAcentral lists this ribosomal RNA (362 nucleotides) under uncultured bacterium. RNAcentral describes it as "bacterial SSU rRNA". It matches the Rfam family "Bacterial small subunit ribosomal RNA", at positions 29 to 416 of the family's 1533-position model. The record is from RNAcentral.